Zopfia rhizophila CBS 207.26 is the source of this 82-nucleotide non-coding RNA. NCBI's taxonomy places the organism in Eukaryota, Fungi, Ascomycota, Dothideomycetes, Zopfiaceae. The record is from the annotation of a GenBank genome assembly.
GGUGAGAUGGCCGAGCGGUCUAUGGCGCUAGCUUCAGGUGCUAGUAUCGAAAGAUGCGUGGGUUCGAAUCCCACUCUCAUCA